AAAUAGAUACCCGGGUAGUCCACGCCGUAAACGAUGAGUGCUAAGUGUUAGGGGGUUUCCGCCCCUUAGUGCUGCAGCUAACGCAUUAAGCACUCCGCCUGGGGAGUACGGUCGCAAGACUGAAACUCAAAGGAAUUGACGGGGGCCCGCACAAGCGGUGGAGCAUGUGGUUUAAUUCGAAGCAACGCGAAGAACCUUACCAGGUCUUGACAUCCCAUUGACCGCUAUGGAGACAUGGCUUUCCCUUCGGGGACAGUGGUGACAGGUGGUGCAUGGUUGUCGUCAGCUCGUGUCGUGAGAUGUUGGGUUAAGUCCCGCAACGAGCGCAACCCUUGUUCUUAGUUGCCAUCAUUUAGUUGGGCACUCUAAGGAGACUGCCGGUGACAAACCGGAGGAAGGUGGGGAUGACGGUCAAAUCAUCAUGCCCCUUAUGACCUGGGCUACACACGUGCUACAAUGGACGGUACAAACGGUUGCCAACCCGCGAGGGGAGCUAAUCCGAUAAAACCGUUCUCAGUUCGGAUUGUAGGCUGCAACUCGCCUAC
This 545-nucleotide ribosomal RNA is filed under the name uncultured bacterium. Its description in RNAcentral is "bacterial SSU rRNA". It matches the Rfam family "Bacterial small subunit ribosomal RNA", at positions 776 to 1319 of the family's 1533-position model. The record is from RNAcentral.